AUGUUGUGCAUCCUGUCAAAAUGUAUCUGAAUCCCUGCAUCCUGUUUACACAGUUAAACACUGGCAGUCACAACUGGAGGACUGUGGAGUUUCCAGUGGCUUCUGAGGUUCAGUUAGUGUGGACAUUUA
Molecule: long non-coding RNA, 129 nt
Organism: Sander lucioperca (pikeperch)
Lineage: Eukaryota; Metazoa; Chordata; Actinopteri; Perciformes; Percidae
Exons: 2
Source: RefSeq, a predicted model, not a curated record